This is a long non-coding RNA of Magallana angulata, 1226 nucleotides long. RefSeq lists it as uncharacterized. The transcript is spliced from 5 exons. The record is from RefSeq and is a predicted model, not a curated record. Lineage: Eukaryota; Metazoa; Mollusca; Bivalvia; Ostreida; Ostreidae.
UCAUUAGCAAACAUACAAUACGUUUCUAGCUUACCGCAUUCACCCGUAAAAAAAAUAGUUUUUAUUCCACAUCACCCCUCUUCCUCCCCCCACCCCGUUCAAUCCGAACCAAUCAUUGGCGUCAAUUUUUUUUGAUGGAAAUCGAAAUAUAAAAUCGUUGAAAACCUCCAAAUCUUCCCCUUUUUUCUGAAGGAUCCCGUUAUUUGUUAAUAAUUCAUAUUUUUGGGAUUAAGAUUACCAUGGCAAGGUAAGUUAAUAAGAUUUUAGUUUUGACUCUUACUGUAAGUGGUCCAAUUUUCCCUUCAUCUUUAUUCCUCUAUACUUAUUUUUGGUACUUAAAUGUUUCAGCCAAUGCAUAUGCAACUCUAAAAUAGAAGUGGUGGAGCUUCUUGAGAAAAUCAAGGACAUCCUUGAUAAAUGCCCGUGCCCACACAGCAGAAGGGGUGGCCAGUUGUCAGCUGGCAUGACGUCUACACCAGACGUCCAAACCCCUAUCACAAAAAAUGGAAGCGUGCCGGCUACGCCAAAAGCACCAAAGAGACCGUGUAAACCGCGUACGCUUGUGGACCAGGAGGAGUCCCUCCGGUGGGAGGUCUCUCCCAUAGGGUAAGAUCAUAUUUUUUUCGCUUUUAUGAGAUUAUAUUUCAUCAAUAAAAGUACAAAUCUAAACCCAAUGAAUCAAUUAGAUUGUAUUUAUUAAAAGGUUAAUUUUUCUUUUUUUUUCGCUAUUUUUUUAGGCAAGAGAAAAGUGUAAUAGAGAUUUCUUCGUAGGUUUUAAUUUUUUUUCUUUUCUUUUCGAUUUGUCAUAUUUAAGAGGAAACUGCUUCAAUUUUGUUUUUUUUUUUGUUUAUCUCAAUAAGAUCGGAGGGGUCCAUGGCCAGCGACAGAGACGUCGCGUUCAUGGACUUGUGUCUGGAGGAUUCAGACAUCCUCAUUCCCCCGUAAGUCACUACACCCAAAUCUUGCGUUCUUUGUCAAUUUCUUUUACAAAAUUAUCUUUCAUAUUACUCAUCAUUUUUUUCUGUCAAUUUCAGAUCCCAGUUCCACAUGGAUGAGGCGAAGAAGCUUCUGAUGUAAUUUUGUUUUCUGAAUACAAUGUUUUAGUUGUAAAGAUUUGUUUUCUUUGUUUUUCAUAUAUCGUUAAAAACAUAUGGAUGACAGUUUUUUCGAUCAAAUUCGAUUUUUUUAUUCAAACUAUGCGGAAGAUUCCAUAUUUCUUGUAAUAC